This 253-nucleotide ribosomal RNA is filed under the name uncultured bacterium. Its description in RNAcentral is "partial 16S ribosomal RNA". It matches the Rfam family "Bacterial small subunit ribosomal RNA", at positions 524 to 776 of the family's 1533-position model. The record is from RNAcentral.
UACAGGGGGUGCAAACGUUGCUCGGAAUCAUUGGGCGUAAAGCGCACGUAGGCGGUUCGUUAUGUCGAAUGUGAAAGCCCUUGGCUUAACCGAGGAAGUGCAUCCGAAACUGGCGAGCUAGAGUACUAAAGAGGAUCGCGGAAUUCCCGGUGUAGAGGUGAAAUUCGUAGAUAUCGGGAGGAACACCGGUGGCGAAGGCGGCGAUCUGGGUAGAUACUGACGCUGAGGUGCGAAAGCGUGGGGAGCAAACAGG